GCCGGUGUAGCUCAAUGGUUAGAGCAAUCGCAUCAUAAGCGAGAGGUUUGUCGGUUCAAGUCCGACCACCGGCACAA
This 77-nucleotide transfer RNA is filed under the name Candidatus Nealsonbacteria bacterium CG_4_10_14_0_2_um_filter_37_10. RNAcentral's name for it is "tRNA-Met". It matches the Rfam family "tRNA". From Rfam's summary of the family: Transfer RNA (tRNA) molecules are approximately 80 nucleotides in length. Their secondary structure includes four short double-helical elements and three loops (D, anti-codon, and T loops). The record is from RNAcentral. RNAcentral also lists the same sequence under 2 other names. Lineage: Bacteria; Candidatus Nealsoniibacteriota.